ACUUAUUUAGUAUAAAAGUAUGUUUGACUUCCAAUCAAAAGGCCCAGUAAGCUGGAAUAAGUA
RNAcentral lists this transfer RNA (63 nucleotides) under Isonychia ignota. Its description in RNAcentral is "tRNA-Gly". It matches the Rfam family "tRNA". From Rfam's summary of the family: Transfer RNA (tRNA) molecules are approximately 80 nucleotides in length. Their secondary structure includes four short double-helical elements and three loops (D, anti-codon, and T loops). The record is from RNAcentral. Lineage: Eukaryota; Metazoa; Arthropoda; Insecta; Ephemeroptera; Isonychiidae. RNAcentral also lists the same sequence under 1 other name.